This 465-nucleotide ribosomal RNA is filed under the name uncultured bacterium. RNAcentral describes it as "partial 16S ribosomal RNA". It matches the Rfam family "Bacterial small subunit ribosomal RNA", at positions 338 to 795 of the family's 1533-position model. The record is from RNAcentral.
CCUACGGGUGACAGCAGUGGGGAAUAUUGCGCAAUGGGCGAAAGCCUGACGCAGCGACGCCGCGUGAGGGAUGAAGGUCUUCGGAUCGUAAACCUCUGUCAGCAGGGACGAACGGUCACUGUGCUAAUCAGCAGUGAAUUGACGGUACCUGCAAAGGAAGCACCGGCUAACUCCGUGCCAGCAGCCGCGGUAAUACGGAGGGUGCGAGCGUUAAUCGGAAUUACUGGGCGUAAAGCGCUCGUAGGCGGUAUGUCAAGUCAAGGGUGAAAUCCCCGCGCUCAACGUGGGAACUGCCUUUGAAACGGGCAAACUGGAGUGUGGGAGAGGGUAGUGGAAUUCCAGGUGUAGGAGUGAAAUGCGUAGAGAUCUGGAGGAACAUCAGUGGCGAAGGCGACUACCUGGCACAUAACUGACGCUGAGGAGCGAAAGCGUGGGGAGCAAACAGGAUUAGAUACCCGAGUAGUC